UGCAGUGAAUUAGUAAUGCGGUGCGUUUUGGCAGUUGUUGCCAUUUCCUUCAUUUUCAUUCGUGCAAGAGAGAGCUCAAUCAGAUUGGGGUUUUCUCCAAUUUUCCCAACCCUCGAGCUAGGGUUCGUCAAGCGUAGAGAGAAGAGGUACUGUGACGAAGCAGCAACGCGAGCUCCAUGGGCCAUUUUUGAAGAAGCCCAGAAUGAUGAUGACCGAAGGAAGAAGCCCAUAAUGAUGAUCGGACCAGAAUGUUGAUCGGACCGAUAGCUGGUUGACGGUUGAAGAGAAGAAAGGUUCGAGUCAGUUAAAGAUUAAUUCGAGACUCUUCCAAGAUGUAACUGAUUCUUCCCCCUUUCCCCCUUUUUUUCUUUCUUUCGUUUUUCUACCUUUGAACUUUUCCUAUAAAAGGAAGUCUUUGUAAUGAAUAAUGGGUGUGCACUGGGUGACAGACGGUGUACUUAGCUUAGGUUUUUCGCUUUCUCAUGCUCUAGUUUAGAUUUCAAAGCUUUCGUUGGGUAGAUACACUGUUUUCUUCGUUACUGGAUUUUGUGGAGGGUUCUCGCGUGGGUGACAGGCCGUGAGGUUCCCUUUGUGAUUUUCGGUACAAUUUUUGUAUUCCAAUUCUCCAAUCUUCAAAUACAAUUCAGUUCUUUUAUGUUCUUUGCACA
RNAcentral lists this long non-coding RNA (668 nucleotides) under Vigna radiata. Its description in RNAcentral is "long non-coding RNA (VRAD_LNC000388)". Lineage: Eukaryota; Viridiplantae; Streptophyta; Magnoliopsida; Fabales; Fabaceae. The record is from RNAcentral.